AGUAACGCGUGGAUAACCUGCCUCACACUGGGGGAUAACAGUUAGAAAUGACUGCUAAUACCGCAUAAGCGCACAGUACCGCAUGGUACAGUGUGAAAAACUCCGGUGGUGUGAGAUGGAUCCGCGUCUGAUUAGCCAGUUGGCGGGGUAACGGCCCACCAAAGCGACGAUCAGUAGCCGACCUGAGAGGAUGACCGGCCACAUUGGGACUGAGACACGGCCCAA
RNAcentral lists this ribosomal RNA (225 nucleotides) under uncultured bacterium. Its description in RNAcentral is "partial 16S ribosomal RNA". It matches the Rfam family "Bacterial small subunit ribosomal RNA", at positions 109 to 334 of the family's 1533-position model. The record is from RNAcentral.